ACAAGUGAGGUACAUUCCAUCUCUUAGAAGAAAUCUAAUAUCCUUAGGCCUCCUUGAAAAUAAAGGAUAUGAAUGGAAGUCUUCUAAAGCUGGAAUGGAUAUUCUUAAAGAUUCAGUGGUGAUAAUGAAAGGAAUAAGGCAAAAUGGAUUAUACUAUAUUUUAGCUGAUACAGUUACUGGAGAAUCUAGUAGUGUGAAAGUAGAUAACUCAACUCUAUGGCAUAAAAGGCUCGGGCAUAUUGGUGAGAGAGGUUUAAAUGAGUUAUUGAAGAAGUCAGCAAUCAAUAAUCCAUUCCCUUUUCAGCUAAAAACCUGUGAACAGUGCAUUCUUGGUAAGAGCAAGAAGCUAUCUUAUCAGGCUGGUAAACAUGUAUCUAAAGCUCCACUUGAUUAUGUUUACUCAGAUCUGUGGGGGCCUUCAAGGACAGAAAGUUUAGGAAAUGGAAAGUAUUUCAUGUCUAUAAUGGAUGAUUUCUCUAGGAAAUUAUGGAUUUAUAUCUUGAAGGAUAAGACUGAAGCUAUUGAUAAAUUCAGACUAUGGUACAAUGAAGUUGAGAAUGAGAAAUGGGUCAAGCUUAAGUGUCUUAGGAUAGAUAAUGGCCUGAAGUUUAUCUCAUCUGAAUUUGCAAGUUUUUGUGUUGAAAGAGGAAUUAAAAGGCACAAAACAGUGCCAGGGAAUCCCUAGCAAAACGGGGUAAUAGAAAGAAUGAACAGAACCAUUCUUGAGAAAGUCAGAUGUAUGUUGUUUGAGGCCGGGUUAUCCAAGAGAUUUUGGGCAGAAGCAGCUAUGACAGCUAGUCACUUAAUCAACUACUCACCUUCAUCUGCAAUAGGCUUCAGAAUUCCAGAUGAAGUUUGGUAUGGAAAUACACCAAGCUAUGCUCACUUAAGGGUGUUUGGAUGUAGAGCUUAUGCUCACAUUAAACAGGAUAAGUUGAAACCUAGAGCAUUGAAGUGUAUUCUGAUAGGUUAUCCUAAAGGUGUUAAAGGUUCACUACUACAAAUUUGGGCUAUCUCUACACCUGUAUAACUACGGUUUUAUAAAAAAAUCGUAGUGUAUUUGUAUAGACUACAGUUUUUCUUGUGAACUGUAGUGUAUGAGCGCCCUUUUCCAAAUUUAGACUACGGUGGCAAGCACAUUGUAGUCACAAUCGUAGUCUAUAGUAGUCUAUUACUACAGUUCCAUAAAACUGUAGUGUAUGAGCGUUUUUUUGAUGUUUUUCUCUACAGUUUAUGAAUUCUCGUAGUGUAUUCUUUGUUGUGUACAAAGUUUUGACUACAGUAGUUUUUUAAAGCAUAGUAAAUGGUAUGUAACUUCACUUUUGUCUACAGUUGCUCUUAAAAUUGUAGUGUAUAUGCGAGUUUUGACUACGUAACUAGAUUUGUAGUCUAUUAACUUUUAAAAAAUGUAGUGAAAAUAUAAUGCCGUUAAACAUGUUAUUUUAAAAAAUUAAAAAUGAUCAAUAUUUUUAUUUUAAAUUCUAAAAAAUAAUUUUUAUUUAAAAUUAUUUAAAUAUAAAUAAAUUACAUUGCAUUUAAUUCUAAAAUAAUAUUAAAAAUAAAGUAUUUUAUUUUUUAGGGUAUUUUGUAUUGUCAUUAAUUAUGUUUAUACUCUCAAGGGUUUUAGGUUCGCUUUUUUCUUUCUCUUUAUAAUAAAAUUUUAUUAAAUACUUGAAUUAUAUUAAAAAUGCUAUGACAGUUCAAACACAAUUCCCACGGCCUUCCACUCCAACCCUAGCCUUGCACGUCUCUCACUCAACCGCCGUCAUUCUCCCUAAAACCCGUCGUCUCUCUCAUGCCUCUAUCACUGCGCCACGCCCCCUGCUCAGCUGUCAUCGCCGCUGUCACCCCUGCUCGGCGCCUCUGCCUCCGCCUUGAACCAGUCGCCACCUGCCGUCCUCCGCUUCACCAAUUCAGUGGUCGCAGUGCUGCAACAGCCCUGCUCGAAUGUCAUCGCCGCUCUCACCGCCCUGCUCGGCUGCCGCCUCCGCCUUGAAUCAGUUGAGUCGCCACGCCACCGCCCUGAAUUGAUUUAAUCUGCACUGUCAUAUCAUUCUCGCCAUCAUUAAUUGAUUUUUAGGCAUGUAAGAAUGUAUUUGUUACAUAACUUCAUAUGUUCUGCACUAAAAAAUUGUCAGUAUCACUUAAUUGUUGUUAUUAUAUCAUUAUUUCCUUUUAAAAAAAUAAGUAUCAUCUUUUAGGAUUGUAGAUGUUAAAUACGCAAAGGAUGAUUUGUUUAUAUCAUCUUUAACUCUUGCUUACACCACUUUGCGUAUAAACAAGUUAUUAGUUUUAAUGACUUGGAAUACUUGUUUAUCUCUUGCUUACAUCACUUUUUUAGUGAAAAUGAUGGCAAGGACAAAUGCGAGUGUGGCUUUGUAGUCAUGCACUUAUUUGCGUUAACUUGUUUAUGCUCAAGGAUUAGGGAUAUCUAUCUCAAUUACCAGUUCUUUUAUCUUGAUAUUGUUCGUUAAAACAUGUUGGAAUCAUGUGUUCUUGUAGUUUAUGCAAGGGAGUACGGGUGGGUGCUAAUCUUGAGGUUAUCUUUAUAGCCAAUGUAGAAAAAUCUGAAUUUGUCACCUUUGUAUAUAUAUUGUACCUGUCACCUGAAGCCAGAAUGGUUCGCUUAAAAUUGUCCAGGGUGUACCCUGGCAAUUUGAGAUACAUGGGUGUGAAUCAAAAUAUAUUUGCUAACAAAAUGAGAAUAGCCUCCUCGAUGUGGUCAAAGAAUGUCGAACGUCAUCUGUUAAGCUUCUAGGAUUGAAUAUAUAUUUGAAUCAUGUUGGAUUGAUAAAGAUUAUUUAACAUUGAAUUAUAUUUACCUGGUGCUCUGCUUUUACUGUUUCUUAUCUGCUGCUUAAGCUUUGAUCUAAGCUUUCUCUUUGAUUAUUUCUAGAUGGAACCAUCUAUCCUUAUGAAAAUUAUGACAUAGGAAAACACUAAGCUUCUCAUUGAUUCAUCGAAAUUUGGUGCAGAUGAUUUGUUUAUGCUAAAUAGUAUUCAAAGUUUUGUUGUAAUAUAAAGGAUCAUCGACUUGUUAAUAGACUCAAACUACUUAAAAGUAUUAGUGGAUAUAAUGCUUUGUUUAAGGGAAGAUUUGUUUUAUUUGUUGAGUUUUUUUCCGGAUAGUUAGUGAAUCUGAGCAGUAAAUUUGUAAAAAUCUGUAGUUAAUAUUUUGCAUUGAACAUGUAGAUCGCCAUAUUAACAUAGAUUAGUUCUCCAAAUAAUAUUUAUUAGGACUGGUGGUCUAGAUAUGUUCAUAACAGAGAGAGAGCAGAGAGUCUAUAUUGUUUCAGAGAUGGAUAUUUUAAGGCUAUCUAUCUUGAAAAUCAUAUAAGUUUAGAAUAUCUAAUUUUGUAUAUAUAUAUUCAUGAGUGGUGGAAGUUGAGUUUGUUAGUCUUGACUUCUUGAUCUUUGGCUUUUCUCACAAGUUGAGUAAUUUAUAUGUAGAUUAUAUGCAAUGAGUAACUGAAGGUGCAAUUUUCAAUUGACUUAUUGUAUGCAUGCUAUCAGUGUUGUCAUGUAAUUGUAUUUUUUGGGCAAUUCCACUCACAAUCAUGAAUAUUUCAUUGAUAUGCUAAACUUAUAUUUGCUCAUAUUGAUGCCUCCUUUGUUUCCGCAUAAUUCAUCUUUGUUGCUGCAAGGUGAGUGCUCUUUUGUAGCUAUGGUCAUUCCGUUUGUUUAUUGCAUGAAGAGUCAAUAUUUUGGAUGAACGAUUGCUUUUCAGUUUGCAUUCGAAAGCCUCAUGCAAGAGACUGUUGCAUCAAUGGCCCGAUAAUAUGUGCGCAACAUCAUAUCAUCUGUUCAGAGGGUUGCCUUAGCUCUCUCUUCGGUUCACCUUGUACCUAAUGCUGGUCUUCGGUCACCCAUCUGUGGUUCCAUAUUUUUUAUUGAAUGGAUAACUGAGUUUUUUAUUGGAUGAAUAACUGACUUUUGUUUUUUGUUGAAAGGGCUAUUUUUAUAUUCAAUGCCAAAUUGGAGAAAAGAGAUAAAAAAACAACCUAUUUGGGAUAUUAUAAAGGUAAUGAGAAAUAUAUUUUUUGUAUGUAAUUAUAAUCUUUUACGUACUAACCCUUAUAACUUUUACAUAGUCUCCAAGACAACUUGAUUUCAAGCAAUGUGGAUUUUUCAGGAUGCGUUACAUGAAAGAAAUUAUUGAAGAGCUUAUGAAGAAUGGUCGCUUUUGCCUAUACAUUCACAUGUAAGUAAUUUGUCUUAAUUCUCAAUUAUACGUUUUUCAUAUAAAACAAUAGUUUAUCUUUUAUAGUUUAACAAUCGGAGUUAUACUAAAUAGGAUAUUGAUGAAGUUCGUGUUGAGUGGGUGAAUCUCAUUCUUAGUCACAUAUAAAAAGUAGAGGUAAUAUUCUACAACUUUGGUUUACUAAUAUGGAUUUGUGUUAUAGAUAUACUAGUAUAUGUUUAUUUGGUCUAUUGAUUUUAAUGAAAGAAAUAUACUUUUGAAAUAAUAUAUGUUGCAAUUAGCUGGAAUUUUGUUUGAAAUGUAAGAAAUGCUUUGUUGACAUGAUUGUUUUAUAUGUUUCUAUGGCAAAUCUUGUUUUAAUUUUGUGCCAGGAUAUGCUGGAAAUGAAGCAAAAACAGGAGACUUUUGCUGAAUUUUCCAUGAAGAUUCUUCAACAAUAGACUACUAGAUAUUGUUUUGAAAAAAAAUAUUGUACUCUUUGUUUUGUAUAUUUAAUCUCUUGUCGUUCUUAGCUUCAUUUCAGUGUACAUUAACAGAAUAUGAAAUAUUGUGAAAUUAUAUAUGACAAUUAUAAUUUUUUAGUGUAUCAAUAUUUGUAUUUCAUUUUUUGUUAAUUUUAAAUAAAAUAACAAUAAUUUUUAGUUGACGAUAGCCAACCACUACGACAAUAGGCGUAGAGUAAGAUCACUAAAAGUGUAGUCUUUAAAUACUAUAGACUACCAUUUCUAGUUGACAAACCGUAGUCUAUUCUUCCAAUACAGUACAAUUUCGAACAGAAUUAACUACGGUUUCCACGUGUAGUAUAUGAUUACACAUAGACUACGCUUUCCACACGUAGUAUAUGUGCGUUUAAAAAUGUAGUCUUAAGUAACUAUAGACUACGGUUAUAAAACUGUAGUCUAUAUUGAUGGGAAUAGACUACACCAUCUAUCACUACGAUUAUUAAAUCACAUAGACUACGGUGUUAAAGUGUAGUCUAUGAGCUUUUUUGUAGUAGUGAGCUUCUUCGCUCGCCUGUGCUAGCACCAAUGCGAUGUCGUGUCGCAACGUGAUAUUGCGUCUACCGGGCACCGGGUGGACCUUCAUUUGAGCUGGAAUUCGAUUCAAAUUCGCAGAAUAAAUCAAAAAUUUAAAGCUAUUUUGGGAAAAACAACAGAGAAACUUCGAUUAAAAAGGAGCUCAGAUGCGCUUUUGGGAAAAAUAUUGAAAAUUUCAAGGAAAAUACCGGAUUACAUAAAAGCAAGAUUAAAAAUAUAGCUUUCGAAACAACUAAAGAAACCCAUAAUUGAAGAGUACGAGAAAGAGAGAGGGGGGGGGGAGGGGGAAAGUAAUCUGGCAACGGGAGCUUGACGUAUGAUUUCUGUGUUUUUCAAAUAGGUGGAAAUUCUUUAAUUUUUUUUUUAUUCCACGUGUACUUCCAACAUGACACUUGGCCGGACACGUCAAAUACCGGUCGUCGGAUUAUUUUUGCGAACCACAAAUGAGAAAAAAAUGAAACAAUAGAGUAUUUUGUAAAUAUGCUUAAGGUGAAUAUAUUUGAAAAAAACGCUCAAACGAUGGGCCAUAAAUUGACAUUUACCCUUCAUUUUCAAAUCUUGAAUUACUUGAUUGUUUUUAAUGUCUAAGGUUCGAAUUUGACUGUCUUAAUUUCAUGCGAAUUCCAUAGGAUAUAUAAUGAUGAUAUGGAUUUUCCCCUCCAUACUUAAACUAUUUGAAGAAAUUCAAAUUGUCUGUCAUUUCAACUUUCCGAUACAGAAAAAUCGAAUAAUUUGAGAUUGGAAACUAAAAUACCUUUAGUCGAGAACUAAUAUGUUAAAGUCGAGAGUUCAUUCUAGAUUUAAGAAACUUUGAGUGUAGAACUGUAAUUUUUCCUUGUAUCUGUUCUCCAUCUUUUAUUGUUUUUUUGUGUGGGCAUAUUUUAUUGUUAUGUGAACAUAAUAUUCUAUUUCUUGAUAGUCAAUUUGACGGCCUCUUUAAUAGAAACAUUUCACACACUGGACCUACUAGAGAGCCAAAUUUCAAUAGUUCUCUAAUCAAAUUUGUCAAAGUUAAUCUUGAAUGUUAUCUAUUUUCCAAAUCAUCUUUUAGUGCAAAAUACAAGGUACUAAUUAUACAUAAUAAUAUGUUUAAUUUACUUUGAGAUCAUAGCAUUUACAGAAGCUAGUAUACUUGGAUAUUUUUUGUGUCAAUUAUUUUUUUGAUAGAGAAACAUACCGGAAAUAAUAAAUCUGAAAAAUCUAAUAAAAUGCAUUACUUCAAGAAAGUCGAUUCCCAAUAAUACUCCAAAAUUUAAUUUGAUAAACAAAUACUUAUAUAAAUGGUUUACUAGUUACAAUUAAAAUAUGGAGUAAUAUCAAAAACAAUCUAUCUAAAUUUAAAUUUUUUAUUAAGAGGGUGUGUAUUUGACUGAGCUAUGAGCAUAUAAACUCUUUAAAUACUUAUAGAUUAUUUAAGAGCUUAUAAGCUCUUUUAAAGUACUCCAUCCGUCCCAUUUGUAUUGGCCAGAGUCCAGACCCCCUUGUCAUUUUGGAUUGUCUCAAUUAUAUUGGCCCCUUUCUUAAAAUAGCAAAAAUAAGGGCUCCUAAGUGGACAAAAGUAAAGCACUUCACCUAUUUAACUCAUAAAUAAAUGUUUUUUUAAUCUUCGUGCCCAAAAGUAAGAGGGUGUUUGGCUAAGCGUAUUUAAAGAGCUUAUAAGAUGUUUCAAGAGCUUAUAAGAUAUAAUUUUUAAGAGUUUAUAAGUUGUCAAAGUGUUUGGAUAGUUGAGCUUAUAAGCUAGAGAGAGAAUUUUUUGCUAAAGAGAGAAAAUCGAAGAUAAAUGAACUUAAAUGAUUAAUGAUGAAAAUAAUACAUUAUAGUUGAAAAAUAUUGUAAAAUGAUUGUUGCAUAUGAGAUUAUAAAAAAAUAAGUUGGGGUAGAGGAACUUAUUUUUUGAGGAGCUUAUUUUUGGAGCUUAUAUAAGCUGUUUAGGAGCUUAUUUGGAGAGCUUAUAAGCUUAGCCAAACAUCCUCUAAGAGGUCAAUACAAAUAGAACGGAGGGAGUAUUUGGUAAAAUAAGAUUCUAAGCAUCUUACAAAUGUAAAAAUAAGUCCCAAGAGAUUAUAAGCUCACAAAAACUAAGUUUAUCUAUUCCAAAAAUUUUUUAUAUAAUCUCAUCUGCUACAAGCAAAUAUUAUUUAACCAUAAUUUGUUAUUUUUAUCAUAUAACUUCCAAGUUUAUCUCUCUUCAAUUUUUACAUCUCACAUAAAAUUCCCUCUCCAAUUUAUGAGCUAAAUUAUCUAAACACUUUAAUAAUUUAUAUGUUAUUAACAAAUUAUAUUUUAUAAUAUGUUGAAACUUAUAAACUUUUUAAAAUAAACUUACUCAAACACCUUCAAAAUUUGGUUUGAGCCGAUCUUCGUGUUUUGACAUUUUAGUUAUUUGGUAUUAGGCGGAUGGUGAUUGUGAUUUCAACUUGACGUUAAUUUUCCUUCUUCUUUUUGUUGGAAUAAACGAGGAAACAAAGUGAAUUAUCCACGUCAAGUCUCAAUACACUAAAAAAUCGAUUCGGUAAUAAUGUACAUAACGAGAAAUUGAAAAAUAUAUUUGGAGAUUUCUUGACUUUAACCAUACUCCAUUGUGAGAUUGUAAUUUUUCUUGAAUUUGGAAAUUUUUAAUUACGAAAAGAACCUUUUGAAAAAUUGCAGUCACCGACCAAAUCUAGCUUUUCCAGGCUGGUAACGAUUAACGAAUCGUGAUUAUGUACCCUAAUUUAAUAUACUCCAUUCCAUUCGUACCCAUUAUAUAAAUUUAUUGAAUUUUGUAUAAGAGUUUAACUCGUUAUUAAAAAAAUUAGGGUGAAUAAUGUUUUAUGUCCCGAACUUUCAGCGUUUUUCACAAAAUGUUCCGAGCUUUCAUUUUCUCCUAAAAAAUCCUGAACUUUCAAUUUUUUCCAUAAAAUGUCCCGCUAUAUAAAAUUCGAUGACGGAAAGAUGAUAAAAAGCCCGAACAUUCAACAUUUUCCAAUAAUGGUGGUUCUCAAUAUAAUUUUCCAAUAAUGGCGGUCCCCAAAAUAUUUCUUUUGGCUAGAUAAUUCAUCUUUUUGUCACCAAAAUUUGUAUAAUGGGAUAUUUUAUGAAAAAACUGAAAGUUCAGGAUUUUUUAGGAGAAAAUGAAAGUUCCGGACAUAAAACACUAUUAACCCAAACAAUUAUAUAUUAUUCAUAUUUAAUUUUUGACAAUACAUUAAUAAUAGAAUUAAUUAAAAAUUAAAUAAAAAUAUAUUAAUAAAUGAAUUAAAAAUGUAUUGCCCUUUAUAAAAACUAGUCUAUAUAUUUGGAACAUUCAAAAAGGAAAAAGAAAAUUUAUAUAAUUGAGACGAAGAAAAAAUAUAAAUAUUUUUAAUAAUACAAAAUUGAAACUUUGUCAAUUGAACAUUUAUCAUUUCAUCAUUCCAUUUUUGGUCAUAAAUAAUCUUCAAAUUGCCAUUUUGAUCAAUAAUUUUAAAACACCGUUUGGAGAAGAUGUCGGCCCAUGUAGAUUUCUAGUCCGUUUACUAUCAACUAUCUGUUUCUCGUAGUAAUUCAGUCCCUUUCACACAAUUCGUUCUGAAAUUCAUAUGGUCGACAUCUUGCGCUUAUAUAUGAAGUGGCCUGCAAAUUAAAUCACAAACAAUUAAAUUAUAGCCAAACCACAUCUGUAAGUACUUAUACUUUACAGGUUUAUUUUGAAUAAAUCCUUAUAAUAUUGUUUUGUUUCCAUAAGUCCCUCUACUAGUAUAUAUUUCACGUCAUGAAAUCACUUUUUAACGAAUGUAUCUAACAGCGUUAACAUUUUCAUUAAAAAUGGGCUAUGAGUAAAUAUUACAGCCUUAUUCGAAUUACGUGUGGUGAUAUCCAACAGCUAUCAAACAACACAUUCGCUUUAAUGUCGUCAGCCAUUUCUACACAACAACACAACUCGAUAGUUGAUUGAAAUCAUCACAACCUUGAACCCGUGACCUCACUAUUUACACAGAAGGUCACACCGCUUGGUGUUUCAUUGGGGACGAGAAUUCAUCAUGUUAGGUCACCACUUGCUCUAUCUUCUAAAGGGCAUAUACUGUAGUGUUACUCCAUCGUGGUGCCACAUCAUCAACUAUCUCAUUUUUCAAGUAUCCAAUAUUUUCUCCACUAUAACACUACCUCACUUUUACUAUUUAUGGACCCACUAUUAUUAUUAUUACUUUUACCAUAAUACACAAUUAUAUAUAUAUAAAUACAUAUAGGAAAAUGAAAAAAAUGACAAAAAGGAAAAAAGGAGGAGAGAGAAAAUUGAUUGGGGCCCCACCGCAUAUACAAGCACCGGGAUCCUCUGCUGGUACCCAUUUACUUCAUUGGUACCUCAAGUUUGAUGUCCACUAUGGUAAGGAGCGGGUCCCUUCGAUGCCACAUAGAUUAAGGAACAUCCCAUAGUGGAUGGCCUAAUGCACCUUCCUUCUCUGAAGAGCUCUCUAAAAUUUCUUGAAAAAAAUUCUUCUAAAUGAUCAAAUUUCUGAUCAACACGUGAAUUGACUUCUUAAGCGAAUUUUGGCUUAAGAAUUUGUUACUCAACAUCAUCGCUUGACACUUGACAGUCACCGCCGUGGGAAUGUGAUGGACAUCCACCAAAUCAACUUGUGAAAUAGGUUAUUUUGCAAUGAAAAUAUUAACGGUGUUAAAUAAAUUUAAAUAAAUUUUUUAUUUUUUUAAGAUAAAGUAUAUUAGCAGAGGGACUUAGAAAAAAAAAUAGUACGAGAAUUUAUUGAAACAAACUUUAAAUAUACAUGGGCCUAAAUAUGUGUGUUCCGCCUUAAAUUAUAUAAAUACAUAUGAGAGACGUAUAUUCACGGUUAAACUAAUCUUAUACUUUAAGGGCCUGUUUGAUAUGGGUUUAAAAGCAUGAUAAGUUAAAUUAAUAUGGAUUUAUGUAGUGUUUGAUAUUAUGUGUUACUAAUAUGGUCAACUCCAGGUUUAUCUCAAGACCUAGCUUAUUUUGUGGGAUUAACCCACACUAAUUAUCCCACCUUCCCCAUGGGAUUAACCCACACUAAUUAUUCCACCCCCUCCAUAGGCUACUAAUUUAGGUAUUUGAUACUCCCUCCGUCCCAUUAAAGUUGGCAACAUUUCUAUUUUGGGUGUCCCAUUAAAGUUGACCACUUUCUAAAAAUGGCAAAAGUUUACUUAAGUUAAGUCAACAAUUACUCACUAAUUUGGUCAACAAUUGUAGGCUACUUUUUAAAAAUAUCAAAAUUAUUUUAAUUAAGUCAACAAUUACUCACUAAUUUGGUCAACAAUUGUAGGCCACACUCUAUUAAAACAUAUAACACUUAAUUUUUUAAUCUCCGUGCCGAAAUGAAUGUUGCCAACUUUAGCGGGACGGAGGGAGUAAUAAUAAAUGAAAGAAGCAGAAAAUGAUACCUCAUUCAUUCCUAAAGUGACAACCUUUUCCUCCAACGCACCAACCUCCUUAACAUUAAACUUGUUGAGCAGAGCUAUGCUGGAGAUGGUAGACAUGGGCUUGAUCUCCAAAUCAUCCAUCACCAUGUAUGUCACCACCCCCUUCACCAAACCGCCGCCUUCCGCGGCCUCUACCACCGCGGGAGGAGCCACAUAGGUUAUAGUCGAGCUCAGAACCCCACGGCAUGAAGGACAAGUGGCGCGGGGGCCAUCAGAAAAAUAAUUGCGACAACUGCUACUGUAAUUAUAAUUGCUGCACGUGUAAAAUUUCCUCUGAUCAAUUUGAGAAGCGGUGAGGGGCAGAAGCGGAACUGAGGAACUGGAGACCGGCGCCGCCGGUUUCAGAAACGCCUCCUUGUUCUUGCCCGGCAGUAUGUAGGUGUCGUUGAGAUCUUCUAAGCUUUUGAAGAGGUUGGGGAGAGAGCCCUCCAUUCCUUCCUCUCUGAGAAGGCUGAUGACGGUGGCAAGCGGCGCAGACAGUAUGUGGAAGAGGAAAUCCACGCAGUCUUUGCCGGCCUCCGCGAACAAGACGCGUCUCACUUUGCUAGUGUCGAUCAACAGCUUCAUGCUCACCGUCGGAUUCGCCAUUAAUCUUUUUGUGUAUCUGAUGGCUUGAUCUUCUUCUUGGGUGGGUUACUCUAUUUCAACUCACCAUUCAUUUAUAUAUAGAGGCUGGCAAACUAGUUCCAUCGGAUUGGUGCAGAUGAAAAGCUUAGUGAAGUAAUAAUGCUUGCGUUUCUAUUUAAUUAUCAUAAAUUCAUAUCCCUCUGCAAUCAUGAGAGAAAUUGGGUUUCCGUUACUGUUGAUAAAUAUUAAGGGAAAUUGUAUGGAGCCAUAAUUAUAGCUGCCAUAAAUACCCUUCAAAUAUUAAUGAUCUAAUUUGAACACUAAUUUGUCCUCCAUUCAACCCAAACGAUUUUCCCAACCCUAAUUCACACAAUUAUUUUAGGAAAUGAUUCCUAUUGAAAUAAACGGUUUUUUCCCCUUAUUUAAAUCAACAACUAUUUUUCAGUACCCUAAAAAAAUAGUUGAAAUUUUUAGGAAUUAAAUUUCUUAUCUCAAACCUUGCCACCCCAUAUUCAACAAAGCAAAACCAAAAGAAAAAGUGGUUGUCUGCCACUAGGCUAAAAGUGGUUGUCUGCCACCAACAGGCUAUAACAAAUGUAGUAUUAUUUCAAAUUAAAAUGUACUCCCUCCGUCCCAGUAAUGUUGUCCCCUUUCUUUUGGGCACGGAGAUUAAGGAGUGUAAAAUUAGUAUUGUAAAAUAAAAGGUCCCACAUGUUUAAGGAAAAGCAAGUAUAGCUUAAGCCCCUCCCCAAACAUGUCUCUCUCUCUCGGCACUCUCUCCCUCAACAUACACUAUGCAGACGCCGCGCCGCCGGCGACACCAUGUUUAUCUCCGGCGACGGCAACAGUAGGUGGAGCAACCUCUCUGAUUCCGCCGAGCAGCAGUGGGAGCAGCCACUGCCGGUCCCAGCCCCCUGUUCUCCCUUUGUCUCUACCAUUUCUCAACUCCGCCCCUCUCCCUUGUCUCCGGCGACCGCUACGAAGCCACAGAGAUACAAGGAAGACUCUUAUAAACAGAAAAUUGAAACACAGAAGGCCCAAAAUUCGGCGACCGCAUGACUAGAAGGUCGCCGUCGUCGCCGCCGCCGAGCCUCAAAUCUCCAGUCUACUUUUCCCUUCAUUCGAGCCCACCAAAGAUAAAACACACCACAGAGCAACACCACCACCACCACAGAAACAAAGAGAUCCACAAAUAACAACAACAAAAAACAAAAAAUAGAAUCUUUUAAUUGUUGAGAGAAACAAAGGAGAGGGAUGAAGAAAAAAAGCCCUAAUUUCUGAAUAAAAAAAAAAAAAACAGAGGAGGAGAGGGCGAAGGCAGGAGGGCGGCGACUAUGGCGCAAGAGGAGUGACAGGCGGGAGAAGCAGCGUCAGGUGAGAGGCGCUGGGGUCGCCGGAAAGAGGAGCCGCGUCGGUGGCUGAAUUAUUGGGGGAGAGCUAGGGCUCGAAAUUUGCAGAAGAGGGGGAAGGGGAGGAGGCGGAGGCGGCGGCGGCGGCGGCGAGCCCUAAUUCAUGGGGGAGCGGAUUUACAGAGGGGGAAGUGGAGGAGGCGGAGGCGGCGGCGGCGGAACAAAGGGGGAAGAGGGAGGCGGCGCCGGUGGAACAGAGGGGAAGUGAGCGGCGGCGCCGGUGGAUUUGCAGAGGGAAAAUGGUGGAGCGACGAGGGAGAAUGAGGGAGAUGGUAGAGAGAGAGAGAGAGAGAGAGAGAGGAGUGAUGUAAUUUGGAGGGGUAAGUUUAAUUAGAAUAUGUUUAAGUGAGAGUUAAUUAGCCUUAAAAUUUACCCAAAAAGGAAAUGGGACAAGAUUAUUGGGACAACCCAAAAAGAAAAGUGGGACAAGAUUAUUGGGACGGAGGGAGUACAAUAUUCAAGAGCCAUAAGGUGUCUCCAACAAUGAUCCCAAUUUUUAGUUUUUAAAUUGCUACACCAUUGCCACAUCAACUUUAGAAAUUCACCUAUUUUUUUUUUCAAAUCUCCUCCAACAAUAAACUAAUUUUUUAUUUUUUCAGGGUCCCACCAUAAUACACACUCCCUCGAUAUAUCUAUAUAUGUAUAUAUUUCUUAAUUAAUUUUAUUUGUAUUAUUAUUUAUAUACUUUAAUAAUAUUUUUAAAUUAAAAUUCUAUAUUUUAAUUAUCUAAUUUAAUAAAAUAAAUUUAAAAUUCUAAAUUAUAAUUAAAAUUACAUUGCAAAAAUUUAAAUUACAUCAAUUGAAAGUACAUAAACAUAAUAAUUCAAACUAAUUUUACUUAAUUGGAGCCAUCUGUGACAUUGAAUUGUGCCCAAAUAUGUUGUGUCAAAUCAUGUUGAAGUUGGAGAUGUGUUUGUUUAUUUGUUAAAUCGUUGUGAUUUUGGAGAUAAUUUUCAAAUGCUUCCCAAUUAUUAGUACCCAUUGGUAUUGGUUGCUGAGAAGUUGCAUCUUCGUCAGACCAGUUGACCGCUUCUUCACCCUCAUCCUCAAUGAUCAUAUUGUGUAAAAUAAUACAUAUGAGCAUUAUAUUGCGAAGGUCUUCCUUGAAAUAAGACCGCGCUGGAUUUCGAACUACGGCAUGAAAUAGUUGGAACUUGAAAGGAUUGUUGGAUGUAAAUUGUGGAGGAAAAUUUGUUCCAGUAGGAGAGUUGAAUGGAAAUUGUUGAGAAUAAAUCGAACCACCAGGAGAGUUGAAUGGAAAUUGUUGAGGAAAAUUCGGAGACAUUUGAUAAUUGUAUGAAAAUUGUUGUUGAGGGUAAGACAUUUGGUGAUAUUGUGAAUUUGAAAAAUAAGAAUUUUGAAAAUUUUGAGAGCUUGAAUUACUUGAGUCGGAAUUUUGAGAGCUUGAAUCCGCCAUUUUAAUUGUAGUGAAAAGAAUUUUGGAAAUAAGAAGAAGAUAGAUUGUUGGGAAGAUGUGUGAAUAAUGAAAAUUGAAGUGAAGUAUAUAUAGAAAAUUUUAAAAAAUUUCCGUUGUUAUUAGAAUUAGCCGUUAUAAAAUUAUAUAUAGCCGUUGCUUUUUUACAAUGCAAAAUAAAACAUUCAAAAUAAAAUACUAGAAUACAAUGCAAAAUAAUUAAAACACAUAUAAUAAAAAAAAAUAAAAAAUAAAAGACCACAAUGUGAAACAACUGAAGCCAUACUCCCAUAUAAUUCAAAUAGCACGCUUUUCAAUGAGAAAAAGUAGGCUAGAAAAGCAAAAAGAAAUGGCUGCCAGAAAAAGUAGAAUUGAAGAAAGUGGAAUUUGGUGGGCUUUGGUUAAGGUUGUCUUUCGUGGAAAGAAGUUUAGAAACCAGUUCUUUGUUUGCUCUUGGUUUCUCGAUUUUUUCGAAGAAACCAGUUCCUAGUUACUCCAAUGCUAAUUCUUUGUUUUAGAAAUUGGAAAAACUUAUCUUUGGAGGCACCCUAAUAUUGAAAACUACCCACUUCAACUAGUAAGUGCAUGCAAAACCACCAAAAUGAUAUUCACUAUACCACAUUUCAUGCCUUAGUGUGUCCUACUUUCAAUUUUGUUUCGUUUCUUUAUAUAUUUUUUUUUGUGGUUUUUGCAAAUAAAAUCACGAACAAUUUUAAAUGUGCAAUUUUAACGUGGCUUUUGAAGUAUGGCGAAUUAAAUCAUAACCUUUUCAAUUUUCGCAAUUUCAUCCCCUCAAUUUUUUCCGGCCACCGGAGUGAUGAGUUGGAGCUUAUGUGGAUUAUUUUUUUUCACGUAAUUAAUUUCUAACUAAGAUUAAAUUGCUGACUAAGAUUAAAACAAAAUCAAAACCUAAUGCUUUUAUUUUACUUCUUUUUCGUCUUUUAUAAAAAUAUAUUUGAUGUGUAUCUUAAGUUAAAGAUCAUGACAAGAUCUUCAAUUUGAUUUAAAAUUCAUUAAAUAUGAAUUUGAAAUAAAUACUUUAUUAUAAUUUAAAAUUUUAAAGUGAUUGUUUUUCUCUCUCCCAUCUCUUUUACAAUAUUCUUUAUUUUUUUCUCUUUCUCCUUAUUUUGUUAUUAUAUUAUUUCCAUUUGUAUCUCUUUCUCCUACAGAAUUUAUAUAUCUUCUCUUCUCUUUUGAUUAAAAAAAACAUAAUAUUUAUUUGUUGAAUUAUUUUUAUCAAAGUAUACAUAUAAAUAUUUAAAUUAANAAUAUCGAGACAAUAUUAUAAAAGUAUUUAUUAAUUUUAAUUUUAAUAGAAAAUAAUAAUCGAUAACAAAAAACUUUCGGUAAAUUUAAUUAUUAUUAUACAAUACUCAUUGAACGUAAUAUUAUACUCCUACUCAUUAAGUUGAUAAAAUUAUUACUAUACACUAUUUUAAAUCAAGUACUAAUAUUUAAAUUAAUAUAUUUUUUGUUAUUAAUUAAUUUGAUUCACAAAUAAUAAUAUUUUUACAUAAUUUCAAAUUUUAAAAAUAAAUAAAUAUAUCGCGGCCGUGUAUCGUACGGGAGGGCGUACUAGUUUAAGGAAAAUGGGGGAUACUGAAAUAAGUUCGACGAAAAAGAAGAAAAAUAAAAGAAUUAGGUUUUGAUUUUAUUUUAAUCUUAGUCAGAAAUUAAUUACGUGAAAAAAAAAUCCACAUAAGCUCCAACUCAUCACUUCGGUGGCCGGAAAAAAUUGAGGGGAUGAAAUUGCAAAAAUUGAAAAGGUUAUGAUUUAAUUUGCCACAUUUUAAAAGUCGCGUUAAAAUUGCAAAUUCAAAAUUGUUCGUGAUUUUAUUUGCAAAAACCUUUAGUUUACUUUUGUGAUUAUUAAUUAGGAUUUAUUCCAUCAAUUUAUGGUAUAUAAUUAUUUUUUAUUAUUUAAUUUCAUUUUGAGUAGCUAAUUAAUAAUUGGUUGAUAAAUUCAAAGCCAUGGUAUAUAUAUAUACUUUUUAAAAAAUUUACUUUUUUGAAAUAAAAAUUAAUUAUUGUCAUAUCCCGACUUUUAAUCAUUGGUCAAAUGUUUAAUUAUUGAUAAUUAGGGUUCAACAUCCAUUAAUAAAAUUUGGUCUUAUGUAUCUGUUGUGAUUUAAUUUUGUUUGAUGUGAUUGAUUUUAUUUAUUUGAAUCCAAUUGAAAUUUAAAGGAUUUUAUGCAUAAGUUUUAAUUCGUGAGUUAAGUGUAGUUAUAUGAAUUACAUGAAUUUUAAAUUUUGCAUGAAGUCAUAAAUUUUUCUUUAAAUGAGAUAUUAUUUUUUUAUUAUCAAUCAAGAGUUAUAUUUUAAUAAUUUUAUUAAAGAUCAUUUUAUUUAUUUAUUAAAGUCACAAGUUUUAUUUAAAUUUUGAUGGUACAUUUUGCCCACUAAUUUUCUUAGUGUGCUUAAUUCACAUCCAUUUGAUACCCACAUGUUUUAAUUAGUUAACCUUAUCUCAUAACCACCCACUUGCCAUAUCCUAUUAAUUUAACUUCUAAAUAUCUACUCAUCAUUAUCCAGCUUCCUCAUUAAGCAACACUAUUAUCUUCCUCUAGAAGCUAAACAUUGUUCUCACCCACCCUUACCGUCUUCUUUGAAAUUUCACAUCUUUUUUUCACCUUCAACUCCCUAACUAAUUUCAAUCAAGAUUCAAGGUAAGUGCGAUUUAUAUUUAUUCAUCUUAUUAGUCAAUUUCAAGAAAUACCUUCAUACACUUAUGCCAUGCAGCAUUUCUGCAGAAUUUUUAUAACAAUUUUGCUUCCUCAAGGUCUACUCCAAAAUUGAACCACCAAACACAAAGCAAACUACUUAUGAUUCUUUAUAUGUUUAUAUGAUUCUGGAAUUUACACAUGUGGUGUUUAUUGUAAGAAAUACACAGAUAGACAAUUACAAAUCUUGAUGAAUAUAAACUCUUAUAUGAAAUCCUACAACUGUUGUCGUUUUGAAUCGUGGCUGAGCCCCUAUGUAGAUGUAUGUGUGAGUGUCGAGAUCGGGGAGGCGGCAGCCCGAUGACUCGUCGUCGGUAGGCGGCUGAGGCAUGAUGGCGGCGGAGCCGCCACUGUUUCUGUUCGGCCGAAAGGGGAGAAAGGGAAGGGGAUAGAAGAUUUCAGUUUUUCGUUGAAUAAAAGAUAUUAUUAGGGCUUCAAUUUAAUUAAUUAUCUUCAUGAAAUUAAUUCGUGGUUAAAUAUUAUCUUCAUGAAAUUAAUUUAUGUCUAAUCCUCUUUCUUUCCGGCUUCUUAAUUCUCACUCUGAGUCAUAAAUCCCGGUUAAUCCAUCCUUAUGGAUAGUGGGCUGUGACAAUUAUAAUUCAUAGUAUUAUAAUAAAUUUUAUUUUUAUAAAAAAUAUUCUUAAAAUAAUAUAUAUAAGCAUGAGAUACAGUGACACAUUAUUGUAAUUACAUCAUUGUAAUUUUCAUCAUCAAUAUUAAUAUUAUAGUGUUUGUACGUAUACGAAAUAUUUAUAGAAAUUAAUGCAAGAGUUCAACGACAACGAGUACGUACAACACAUUCACAAGUUCUCAAAACAACAAUAUUAAUAUGCAAGCGCAGGCCAGAAAGCUUUUACAUAGUUGGAAACAGAAAGUGCAUUAAUUAAGGAUAAACAGAAACUGGAAAUCAGUGGAGCUAGAGACCAAAAUCCGAGACCGACAUUUGUUGAAGUAGCUUAGCAGAAGAGUUCUGUAAGAACAUUCUCGCUCAGAAGAGAAAUCUUCAAUAACUUUAUAGCCUAACCAAAAAAGAAGACCAUCGUCAAAUCAGGUGCUACUAUAAUCCAAAUAAAAGUAUAUAUUAGUACUAAGACAAGAAAGAAAAUAAAUGAGUUAAACAAGAAGAGAUGAUACCUCCUUCAUUCCCAAAUGGACAACUUCUUCCUUCAAAGCACCGAUAUAAUUAACAUUAUUGAGCAGCGCAAUGCCGGAGAUAGUAGACAUGGGUUUGAUCUCCAAAUCAUCCAUCACCAUGUAAGUCACUACACCCUUCACCAAACCGGCGUUUCUCGACACCACUUGCCCAUUUUCCGGUAUUUUUUGAAAGCCUUGCUGAAGUAUGUGAUGGCUAAUGUUUCUAGUGGACACAUCCUUAAGAGCCAGCUGUGGAAGCAAAGAAGCGGAGACCGGUUUGAGAUAGAAGUCCUUUUUCUUGUUGGGUUGUAUGUAGUCGUCGUCGAGAUUUUCUAAGCUUGUGUAGAGGUUGGGCAAGGAGCCCUGCAUCCCUUCCUCUUUGAGCAAGCGAAUGAUGGUGGAAACCGGCAGAGACAGUAUGUUGAAGAGGAAAUCCACGCAGUCUUUGCCGGCCUCCGCGAAUACCACUCGAUUCCUUCUCGUGUCGAUCAGCAGCUUCAUGCUCACCGUCGGUUCCGCCAUGCCUUUUGCUGUCUCAUCUAAUCGAUCAUCACUUGUUGUCUCAUUUAUAUAUUGAUAUUUGGUUGUGGUGUAGCGUGUUUGCACAAACACAAGUUGUGCAGCUGGGAGGCCAACUUGCUGAGAGAUUUCGAGAAUCAUUAAUUGUGAUGGGUUAGGUGGAAUAGGGAGAGCCUUGCCUUGCCUUGCCUAGUCUAAUUCAACAUACUGUAGAGCUCAUUAAUUUCACAGGAAACUAAAAUUAUUUCAAAAUUUUAACUUUAGCAUUGUGCUAAUAGCGGAAAUCAUCACUUGAGAUUCAGAAUAGGAAUGAGAUCUAGAUCUAGAUUCAGAAUAGGAAUAAGCUCAUAAUUAAAGUUUCGAAUAGAAGUUUGUAAACGCAUAUACAACUGCAAUAAAGCCACCUACAUAUUUAGCUUCUAAAUGGACGCAUCACGACAGCCAACAGCCAAACAAAACUUAUCAAAAGGAGAAAUGGAACAUAAGGAAAACAGAUGAGAUAGCAUGCUGUAAUCUGGAUCAACAUUUCUUCAACUCAUCGAUCGCAUCACAGAAGACUCGUGUAAGAACGUUCUUAGUCGUGAGAGAAGUCUUCAACAACUUAAUCGCCUAACGAAAAGGAAGUGAUCACAUUCGAGAUCAUUAAAGUGUUAGAUAUCAAAUACUAUUAACACAAAUACACACGUAUACACUAUGAUAGUUCAUAAACUGUAGAGACAAACUUCAAAAACAUGCUCAUACACUACGGUUUUAUAGGAAUCGUAGUAACAGACUACUAUAAACUACAGUUUUUACUACAUUUAGUUCUCCAGCGUAGUCUAAAAUUAAAAAAUGGCGCUCACGCACUACAGUUCACCAAAAAGACCGUAGUCUAUAUGAAUAAACUACGGUUUUAUAUAAAACCGUAGUUAUAAGGGUGUAGAGAUAGCCUAAAUUUGUAGUAAUGUAUACUAAAUGAAAGAAGCAGAAAAUGAUACCUCAUUCAUUCCUAAAGUGACAACCUUUUCCUCCAAAGCACCAACCUCCUUGACAUUAAACUUAUUGAGCAGAGUAAUGCUGGAGAUAGUAGACAUGGGCUUGAUCACCAAAUCAUCCAUCACCAUGUAUGUCACCACCCCCUUCACCAAACCGCCGCCUUCCGCCGCCUCUACCACCGCGGGAGGAGCCACAUAGGUCAUAGUCGAGCUCAGAACCCCACGGCACGAAGGACAAGUGGCGCGGGGGUCAUCAGAAACAUAAUUGCCACAAUUUCUACUAUUGUAAUUAUAAUUGGUGCACUUGUAAAAUACCCUCUCAAUUUGAGAACCAGUGAGGGCCAGAAGCGGAACUGAGGAACCGGAGACCGGCGCCGCCGGUUUCAGAAACGCCUCCUUGUUCUUGCCCGGGAGUAUGUAGGUGUCGUUGAGAUCUUCUAAGCUUUUGAAGAGGUUGGGGAGAGAGCCCUCCAUUCCUUCCUCUCUGAGAAGGCUGAUGACGGUGGCAAGCGGCGCAGACAGUAUGUGGAAGAGGAAAUCCACGCAGUCUUUGCCGGCCUCCGCGAACAAGACGCGUCUCACUUUGCUAGUGUCGAUCAACAGCUUCAUGCUCACCGUCGGAUUCGCCAUUAAUCUUUUUGUGUAUCUGAUGGCUUGAUCUUCUUCUUGGGUGGGUUACUCUAUUUCAACUCAUCACCAUUCAUUUAUAUAUAGAG
RNAcentral lists this long non-coding RNA (20109 nucleotides) under Salvia miltiorrhiza (redroot sage). Its description in RNAcentral is "long non-coding RNA (SMIL_LNC008342)". Lineage: Eukaryota; Viridiplantae; Streptophyta; Magnoliopsida; Lamiales; Lamiaceae. The record is from RNAcentral.